RNAcentral lists this unclassified non-coding RNA (346 nucleotides) under soil metagenome. Its description in RNAcentral is "partial contains 5.8S ribosomal RNA, internal transcribed spacer 2, and large subunit ribosomal RNA". The stretch from base 1 to 119 matches the Rfam family "5.8S ribosomal RNA", at positions 35 to 154 of the family's 154-position model. The record is from RNAcentral.
GAUGAAGAACGUAGCGAAAUGCGAUACGUAAUGUGAAUUGCAAAUUCAGUGAAUCAUCGAGUCUUUGAACGCACAUUGCGCCCCCUGGUAUUCCGGGGGGCAUGCCUGUCCGAGCGUCAUUGCUGCCCUCAAGCACGGCUUGUGUGUUGGGCCCCGUCCUCCGAUCCCGGGGGACGGGCCCGAAAGGCAGCGGCGGCACCGCGUCCGGUCCUCGAGCGUAUGGGGCUUUGUCACCCGCUCUGUAGGCCCGGCCGGCGCUUGCCGAUCAACCCAAAUUUUUUAUCCAGGUUGACCUCGGAUCAGGUAGAGAUACCCGCUGAACUUAAGCAUAUCAAUAAGCGGAGGA